This 402-nucleotide ribosomal RNA is filed under the name uncultured Eubacteriales bacterium. RNAcentral describes it as "uncultured Clostridiales bacterium partial 16S ribosomal RNA". It matches the Rfam family "Bacterial small subunit ribosomal RNA", at positions 355 to 774 of the family's 1533-position model. The record is from RNAcentral. Lineage: Bacteria; Bacillati; Bacillota; Clostridia; Eubacteriales.
UGGGGAAUAUUGCACAAUGGGGGAAACCCUGAUGCAGCAACGCCGCGUGAGUGAUGAAGGUCUUCGGAUUGUAAAGCUCUGUCUUUGGGGACGAUAAUGACGGUACCCAAGGAGGAAGCCACGGCUAACUACGUGCCAGCAGCCGCGGUAAUACGUAGGUGGCAAGCGUUAUCCGGAUUUACUGGGCGUAAAGGGAGCGUAGGCGGAUACUUAAGUGGGAUGUGAAAUACCUGGGCUCAACCUGGGUGCUGCAUUCCAAACUGAGUAUCUAGAGUGUGGGAGAGGAGAGUGGAAUUCCUAGUGUAGCGGUGAAAUGCGUAGAGAUUAGGAAGAACACCAGUGGCGAAGGCGACUCUCUGGACCAUAACUGACGCUGAGGCUCGAAAGCGUGGGGAGCAAACA